UUUUUGAGAAAGUAAUCCUAUUGGGAGUCUGACUCUUGAGAUUCGGAGAGCAGUGUCUCUUCGAUUUUUGAGAAAGUAAUUAUGUUGGGAGUCUAGCUCUCGGGAUUCGGAGGGGGGUGCCUCUUCGAUUUUUGAGCACGUAAUCCUAUUGGGAGUCUGGCUCUCGAGAUUCGGACAGCGGUGCCUCUUCGAUUUUUGAGCAAGCAAUCUUGUUGGGAGUGUUUUCUCGAAUGUGAGUAAAGGUUGGGGAUUUUUGCCAGUCUGCCUUGCCACAGAGUACGGAGGUUGACACACAUUGGGACUUUCUAGUAAUCAAGCAUUGGUGUUGUUCCUUUACCCUUGUGGGUAAUAGUAGGGUAGCUGGACCUUCAAAAUUUAUGUGUCUAACCUUUGUCAGAGAUCUUUGGCAAAGUUAUCUGUGGUACCCGAGGAGCUGAUGUUGCGUGUGGAAAGUG
This 455-nucleotide long non-coding RNA is filed under the name Malus domestica (apple). RNAcentral describes it as "long non-coding RNA (MDOM_LNC019470)". The record is from RNAcentral. Lineage: Eukaryota; Viridiplantae; Streptophyta; Magnoliopsida; Rosales; Rosaceae.